RNAcentral lists this ribosomal RNA (315 nucleotides) under uncultured bacterium. RNAcentral describes it as "bacterial SSU rRNA". It matches the Rfam family "Bacterial small subunit ribosomal RNA", at positions 28 to 334 of the family's 1533-position model. The record is from RNAcentral.
GACGAACGCUGGCGGCGCGCCUAACACAUGCAAGUCGAACGAGCGAGAGAGAGUUUGCUUUCUCGAGCGAGUGGCGAACGGGUGAGUAACGCGUGAGGAACCUGCCCUUCAGAGGGGGACAACAGUUGGAAACGACUGCUAAUACCGCAUAAAGACCACAGAGCCGCAUGGACUCGGGGGGUCAAAGGAGAAAUCCGCUGAAGGAUGGCCUCGCGUCCGAUUAGCUAGUUGGUGAGGUAACGGCUCACCAAGGCGACGAUCAGUAGCCGGUCUGAGAGGAUGAACGGCCACACUUGGGACUGAGAUACGGCCCAG